RNAcentral lists this transfer RNA (67 nucleotides) under Lachesilla anna. Its description in RNAcentral is "tRNA-Asn". The record is from RNAcentral. Lineage: Eukaryota; Metazoa; Arthropoda; Insecta; Psocodea; Lachesillidae.
UUAAUUAAAGCCAAAAUUUAGAGGCUUAUCAUUGUUAAUGAUAUCAUUGAAAACCAUUCUAAUUAAA